This 253-nucleotide unclassified non-coding RNA is filed under the name uncultured Gammaproteobacteria bacterium. RNAcentral describes it as "contains 16S-23S intergenic spacer region". It matches the Rfam family "Bacterial small subunit ribosomal RNA", at positions 524 to 776 of the family's 1533-position model. The record is from RNAcentral. Lineage: Bacteria; Pseudomonadati; Pseudomonadota; Gammaproteobacteria.
UACGGAGGGUGCAAGCGUUAAUCGGAAUUACUGGGCGUAAAGGGCGCGUAGGCGGUUUGUUAAGCGAGAUGUGAGAGCCCUGGGCUCAGCCUGGGAAUUGCAUUUCGAACUGGCAGGCUAGAGUGUAGAAGAGGGGUGUGGAAUUUCCGGUGUAGCGGUGAAAUGCGUAGAGAUCUGGAGGAAUACCGAUGGCGAAGGCAGCCAUCUGGCCUAAUACUGACGCUGAGGUACGAAAGCAUGGGGAGCAAACAGG